CGAAUGCUGACAUAAGUAACGAUAAAGCGGGUGAAAAGCCCGCUCGCCGGAAGACCAAGGGUUCCUGUCCAACGUUAAUCGGGGCAGGGUGAGUCGACCCCUAAGGCGAGGCCGAAAGGCGUAGUCGAUGGGAAACAGGUUAAUAUUCCUGUACUUGGUGUUACUGCGAAGGGGGGACGGAGAAGGCUAUGUUGGCCGGGCGACGGUUGUCCCGGUUUAAGCGUGUAGGCUGGUUUUCCAGGCAAAUCCGGAAAAUCAAGGCUGAGGCGUGAUGACGAGGCACUACGGUGCUGAAGCAACAAAUGCCCUGCUUCCAGGAAAAGCCUCUAAGCAUCAGGUAACAUCAAAUCGUACCCCAAACCGACACAGGUGGUCAGGUAGAGAAUACCAAGGCGCUUGAGAGAACUCGGGUGAAGGAACUAGGCAAAAUGGUGCCGUAACUUCGGGAGAAGGCACGCUGAUAUGUAGGUGAAGUCCCUCGCGGAUGGAGCUGAAAUCAGUCGAAGAUACCAGCUGGCUGCAACUGUUUAUUAAAAACACAGCACUGUGCAAACACGAAAGUGGACGUAUACGGUGUGACGCCUGCCCGGUGCCGGAAGGUUAAUUGAUGGGGUUAGCGCAAGCGAAGCUCUUGAUCGAAGCCCCGGUAAACGGCGGCCGUAACUAUAACGGUCCUAAGGUAGCGAAAUUCCUUGUCGGGUAAGUUCCGACCUGCACGAAUGGCGUAAUGAUGGCCAGGCUGUCUCCACCCGAGACUCAGUGAAAUUGAACUCGCUGUGAAGAUGCAGUGUACCCGCGGCAAGACGGAAAGACCCCGUGAACCUUUACUAUAGCUUGACACUGAACAUUGAGCCUUGAUGUGUAGGAUAGGUGGGAGGCUUUGAAGUGUGGACGCCAGUCUGCAUGGAGCCGACCUUGAAAUACCACCCUUUAAUGUUUGAUGUUCUAACGUUGACCCGUAAUCCGGGUUGCGGACAGUGUCUGGUGGGUAGUUUGACUGGGGCGGUCUCCUCCUAAAGAGUAACGGAGGAGCACGAAGGUUGGCUAAUCCUGGUCGGACAUCAGGAGGUUAGUGCAAUGGCAUAAGCCAGCUUGACUGCGAGCGUGACGGCGCGAGCAGGUGCGAAAGCAGGUCAUAGUGAUCCGGUGGUUCUGAAUGGAAGGGCCAUCGCUCAACGGAUAAAAGGUACUCCGGGGAUAACAGGCUGAUACCGCCCAAGAGUUCAUAUCGACGGCGGUGUUUGGCACCUCGAUGUCGGCUCAUCACAUCCUGGGGCUGAAGUAGGUCCCAAGGGUAUGGCUGUUCGCCAUUUAAAGUGGUACGCGAGCUGGGUUUAGAACGUCGUGAGACAGUUCGGUCCCUAUCUGCCGUGGGCGCUGGAGAACUGAGGGGGGCUGCUCCUAGUACGAGAGGACCGGAGUGGACGCAUCACUGGUGUUCGGGUUGUCAUGCCAAUGGCACUGCCCGGUAGCUAAAUGCGGAAGAGAUAAGUGCUGAAAGCAUCUAAGCACGAAACUUGCCCCGAGAUGAGUUCUCCCUGACUCCUUGAGAGUCCUGAAGGAACGUUGAAGACGACGACGUUGAUAGGCCGGGUGUGUAAGCGCAGCGAUGCGUUGAGCUAACCGGUACUAAUGAACCGUGAGGCUUAACCUUACAACGCCGAAGCUGUU
RNAcentral lists this ribosomal RNA (1671 nucleotides) under Escherichia coli. RNAcentral's name for it is "partial 23S ribosomal RNA". It matches the Rfam family "Bacterial large subunit ribosomal RNA", at positions 1291 to 2925 of the family's 2925-position model. The record is from RNAcentral. Lineage: Bacteria; Pseudomonadati; Pseudomonadota; Gammaproteobacteria; Enterobacterales; Enterobacteriaceae.